GACAGAGGCCUCGAGCGUUAGGCGGAAUCACUGGGCUUAAAGCGUGUGUAGGCGGGCCCGUAAGUGUCUUGUGAAAUCCCCCGGCUCAACCGGGGAAAUGCGCGUGAUACUGGCGGGCUUGAGAUCGGGAGGGGUGAAUGGAACUCCAGGUGGAGCGGUGAAAUGCGUAGAUAUCUGGAGGAACACCGGUGGCGAAAGCGGUUCACUGGCCCGACACUGACACUGAGGUGCGAAAGCUAGGGUAGCAAACGGG
Molecule: ribosomal RNA, 253 nt
Filed under: uncultured bacterium
Lineage: Bacteria
Description: partial 16S ribosomal RNA
Rfam family: Bacterial small subunit ribosomal RNA
Source: RNAcentral